AGAGUUUGAUCCUGGCUCAGGAUGAACGCUGGCGGCGUGCUUAACACAUGCAAGUCGAACGGGAAACCUUUUAUUGAAGCUUCGGCAGAUUUAGCUGGUUUCUAGUGGCGGACGGGUGAGUAACGCGUGGGUAACCUGCCUCAUACAGGGGGAUAACAGUUAGAAAUGACUGCUAAUACCGCAUAAGACCACGGAGCCGCAUGGCUCAGUGGGAAAAACUCCGGUGGUAUGAGAUGGACCCGCGUCUGAUUAGGUAGUUGGUGGGGUAACGGCCUACCAAGCCAACGAUCAGUAGCCGACCUGAGAGGGUGACCGGCCACAUUGGGACUGAGACACGGCCCAAACUCCUACGGGAGGCAGCAGUGGGGAAUAUUGCACAAUGGGGGAAACCCUGAUGCAGCGACGCCGCGUGAGCGAAGAAGUAUUUCGGUAUGUAAAGCUCUAUCAGCAGGGAAGAAAAUGACGGUACCUGACUAAGAAGCACCGGCUAAAUACGUGCCAGCAGCCGCGGUAAUACGUAUGGUGCAAGCGUUAUCCGGAUUUACUGGGUGUAAAGGGAGCGUAGACGGCUGUGUAAGUCUGAAGUGAAAGCCCGGGGCUCAACCCCGGGACUGCUUUGGAAACUAUGCAGCUAGAGUGUCGGAGAGGUAAGUGGAAUUCCCAGUGUAGCGGUGAAAUGCGUAGAUAUUGGGAGGAACACCAGUGGCGAAGGCGGCUUACUGGACGAUGACUGACGUUGAGGCUCGAAAGCGUGGGGAGCAAACAGGAUUAGAUACCCUGGUAGUCCACGCCGUAAACGAUGACUACUAGGUGUCGGGGAGCAAAGCUCUUCGGUGCCGCAGCAAACGCAAUAAGUAGUCCACCUGGGGAGUACGUUCGCAAGAAUGAAACUCAAAGGAAUUGACGGGGACCCGCACAAGCGGUGGAGCAUGUGGUUUAAUUCGAAGCAACGCGAAGAACCUUACCUGCUCUUGACAUCCCGGUGACCGGCGUGUAAUGACGCCUUUUCUUCGAAACACCGGUGACAGGUGGUGCAUGGUUGUCGUCAGCUCGUGUCGUGAGAUGUUGGGUUAAGUCCCGCAACGAGCGCAACCCUUAUCUUCAGUAGCCAGCAAUUCGGAUGGGCACUCUGGAGAGACUGCCAGGGAUAACCUGGAGGAAGGUGGGGAUGACGUCAAAUCAUCAUGCCCCUUAUGAGCAGGGCUACACACGUGCUACAAUGGCGUAAACAAAGGGAAGCAAACCUGCGAGGGUAAGCAAAUCUCAAAAAUAACGUCUCAGUUCGGAUUGUAGUCUGCAACUCGACUACAUGAAGCUGGAAUCGCUAGUAAUCGCGAAUUAGCAUGUCGCGGUGAAUACGUUCCCGGGUCUUGCACACACCGCCCGUCA
RNAcentral lists this ribosomal RNA (1389 nucleotides) under uncultured bacterium. RNAcentral describes it as "bacterial SSU rRNA". It matches the Rfam family "Bacterial small subunit ribosomal RNA". The record is from RNAcentral.